Molecule: ribosomal RNA, 376 nt
Filed under: uncultured organism
Description: partial 16S ribosomal RNA
Rfam family: Bacterial small subunit ribosomal RNA
Source: RNAcentral
GUAGGUGGCAAGCGUUGUCCGGAAUUAUUGGGCGUAAAGCGCGCGCAGGGCGGUCCUUUAAGUCUGGGUGUGAAAGCCCACGGGCUCAACCGUGGAGGGUCAUUGGAAACUGGGGGACUUGAGUACAGAAGAGGAAAGCGGAAUUCCAAGUGUAGCGGUGAAAUGCGUAGAGAUUUGGAGGAACACCAGUGGCGAAGGCGGCUUUCUGGUCUGUAACUGACGCUGAGGCGCGAAAGCGUGGGGAGCAAACAGGAUUAGAUACCCUGGUAGUCCACGCCGUAAACGAUGAGUGCUAAGUGUUAGGGGGGUUUCCGCCCCUUAGUGCUGCAGCUAACGCAUUAAGCACUCCGCCUGGGGAGUACGGCCGCAAAGGCUG